GAUGAACGCUGGCGGCGUGCCUAAUACAUGCAAGUCGAGCGAACAGAUAAGGAGCUUGCUCCUUUGACGUUAGCGGCGGACGGGUGAGUAACACGUGGGUAACCUACCUAUAAGACUGGGAUAACUUCGGGAAACCGGAGCUAAUACCGGAUAACAUUUGGAACCGCAUGGUUCUAAAGUGAAAGACGGUCUUGCUAUCACUUAUAGAUGGACCCGCGCUGCAUUAGCUAGUUGGUAAGGUAACGGCUUACCAAGGCAACGGUGCGUAGCCGACCUGAGAGGGUGAUCGGCCACACUGGAACUGAGACAAGGUCCAGACUCCUACGGGAGGCAGCAGUAGGGAAUCUUCCGCAAUGGGCGAAAGCCUGACGGAGCAACGCCGCGUGAGUGAUGAAGGUCUUCGGAUCGUAAAACUCUGUUAGUAGGGAAGAACAUAUGUGUAAGUAACUGUGCACAUCUUGACGGUACCUAAUCAGAAAGCCACGGCUAACUACGUG
RNAcentral lists this ribosomal RNA (497 nucleotides) under uncultured bacterium. RNAcentral's name for it is "partial 16S ribosomal RNA". It matches the Rfam family "Bacterial small subunit ribosomal RNA", at positions 28 to 507 of the family's 1533-position model. The record is from RNAcentral.